Molecule: ribosomal RNA, 498 nt
Filed under: uncultured bacterium
Lineage: Bacteria
Description: partial 16S ribosomal RNA
Rfam family: Bacterial small subunit ribosomal RNA
Source: RNAcentral
GACGAACGCUGGCGGCGUGCCUAAUACAUGCAAGUCGAGCGAAGUUUUUCUGGUGCUUGCCCUAGAAAAACUUAGCGGCGAACGGGUGAGUAACACGUAAAGAACCUGCCUCAUAGACUGGGACAACUAUUGGAAACGAUAGCUAAUACCGGAUAACAGUAUUUCUCGCAUGAGAGAUAUUUAAAAGUUGGUUAUGCUAACACUAUGAGAUGGCUUUGCGGUGCAUUAGCUAGUUGGUGGGGUAAAGGCCCACCAAGGCGACGAUGCAUAGCCGACCUGAGAGGGUGAUCGGCCACACUGGGACUGAGACACGGCCCAGACUCCUACGGGAGGCAGCAGUAGGGAAUCUUCCGCAAUGGGCGAAAGCCUGACGGAGCAACGCCGCGUGAGUGAAGAAGGAUUUCGGUUCGUAAAGCUCUGUUGUUAGGGAAGAAUGGAUAUGUAGUAACUAUACAUGUAAGAGACGGUACCUAACCAGAAAGCCACGGCUAACUACGU